This 72-nucleotide transfer RNA is filed under the name Phycisphaerae bacterium. Its description in RNAcentral is "tRNA-Gln". It matches the Rfam family "tRNA". Rfam says of the family: Transfer RNA (tRNA) molecules are approximately 80 nucleotides in length. Their secondary structure includes four short double-helical elements and three loops (D, anti-codon, and T loops). The record is from RNAcentral. Lineage: Bacteria; Pseudomonadati; Planctomycetota; Phycisphaerae.
UGGUCGAUGGUGUAAUCGGCAGCACAGCAGAUUUUGGUUCUGUUAGUCCAGGUUCGAGUCCUGGUCGACCAG